This is a long non-coding RNA of Oncorhynchus keta (chum salmon), 777 nucleotides long. RefSeq lists it as uncharacterized. Lineage: Eukaryota; Metazoa; Chordata; Actinopteri; Salmoniformes; Salmonidae. The transcript has 6 exons. The record is from RefSeq and is a predicted model, not a curated record.
GCCAGGCAGGUCUAAUGUUGUCCAGACAGGCCAGGCAGGUCUAAUGUUGUCCAGACAGGCCAGGCAGGUCGUGUGUUGUACUGACAGGCCAGGCAGGUCUAAUGUUGUCCAGACAGGCCAGGCAGGUCUAAUGUUGUCCAGACAGGCCAGGCAGGUCUAAUGUUGUCCAGACAGGCCAGGCAGGUCUAAUGUUGUCCAGACAGGCCAGGCAGGUCGUGUGUUGUACUGACAGGCCAGGCAGGUCGUAUGUUGUACAGACAGGCCAGGCAGGUCGUGUGUUGUACUGACAGGCCAGGCAGGUCUAAUGUUGUCCAGACAGGCCAGGCAGGUCUAAUGUUGUCCAGACAGGCCAGGCAGGUCUAAUGUUGUCCAGACAGGCCAGGCAGGUCUAAUGUUGUCCAGACAGGCCAGGCAGGUCUAAUGUUGUCCAGACAGGCCAGGCAGGUCGUAUGUUGUACUGACAGGCCAGGCAGGUCGUAUGUUGUACUGACAGGCCAGGCAGGUCGUAUGUUGUACUGACAGGCCAGGCAGGUCGUAUGUUGUACUGACAGGCCAGGCAGGUCGUAUGUUGUACUGACAGGCCAGGCAGGUCGUAUGUUGUACUGACAGGCCAGGCAGGUCGUAUGUUGUACUGACAGGCCAGGCAGGUUGUAUGUUGUACUGACAGGCCAGGCAGGUCGUAUGUUGUACUGACAGGCCAGGCAGGUCGUAUGUUGUACUGACAGGCCAGGCAGGUCGUAUGUUGUACUGACAGGCCAGGCAGGUCGUAUGUUGUAC